Molecule: ribosomal RNA, 1346 nt
Filed under: uncultured bacterium
Lineage: Bacteria
Description: bacterial SSU rRNA
Rfam family: Bacterial small subunit ribosomal RNA
Source: RNAcentral
GACGAACGCUGGCGGCGUGCUUAACACAUGCAAGUCGAACGGAAAGGCCCUGCUUUUGUGGGGUGCUCGAGUGGCGAACGGGUGAGUAACACGUGAGUAACCUGCCCUUGACUUUGGGAUAACUUCAGGAAACUGGGGCUAAUACCGGAUAGGAGCUCCUGCUGCAUGGUGGGGGUUGGAAAGUUUCGGCGGUUGGGGAUGGACUCGCGGCUUAUCAGUUUGUUGGUGGGGUAGUGGCUUACCAAGGCUUUGACGGGUAGCCGGCCUGAGAGGGUGACCGGCCACAUUGGGACUGAGAUACGGCCCAGACUCCUACGGGAGGCAGCAGUGGGGAAUAUUGCACAAUGGGCGGAAGCCUGAUGCAGCAACGCCGCGUGCGGGAUGACGGCCUUCGGGUUGUAAACCGCUUUCGCCUGUGACGAAGCGUGAGUGACGGUAAUGGGUAAAGAAGCACCGGCUAACUACGUGCCAGCAGCCGCGGUGAUACGUAGGGUGCGAGCGUUGUCCGGAUUUAUUGGGCGUAAAGGGCUCGUAGGUGGUUGAUCGCGUCGGAAGUGUAAUCUUGGGGCUUAACCCUGAGCGUGCUUUCGAUACGGGUUGACUUGAGGAAGGUAGGGGAGAAUGGAAUUCCUGGUGGAGCGGUGGAAUGCGCAGAUAUCAGGAGGAACACCAGUGGCGAAGGCGGUUCUCUGGGCCUUUCCUGACGCUGAGGAGCGAAAGCGUGGGGAGCGAACAGGCUUAGAUACCCUGGUAGUCCACGCUGUAAACGGUGGGUACUAGGUGUGGGGUCCAUUCCACGGGUUCCGUGCCGUAGCUAACGCUUUAAGUACCCCGCCUGGGGAGUACGGCCGCAAGGCUAAAACUCAAAGGAAUUGACGGGGCCCCGCACAAGCGGCGGAGCAUGCGGAUUAAUUCGAUGCAACGCGUAGAACCUUACCUGGGUUUGACAUGGAUCGGGAGCGCUCAGAGAUGGGUGUGCCUCUUUUGGGGUCGGUUCACAGGUGGUGCAUGGCUGUCGUCAGCUCGUGUCGUGAGAUGUUGGGUUAAGUCCCGCAACGAGCGCAACCCUUGUUCACUGUUGCCAGCACGUUAUGGUGGGGACUCAGUGGAGACCGCCGGGGUCAACUCGGAGGAAGGUGGGGAUGACGUCAAGUCAUCAUGCCCCUUAUGUCCAGGGCUUCACGCAUGCUACAAUGGCUGGUACAGAGAGUGGCGAGCCUGUGAGGGUGAGCGAAUCUCGGAAAGCCGGUCUCAGUUCGGAUUGGGGUCUGCAACUCGACCUCAUGAAGUCGGAGUCGCUAGUAAUCGCAGAUCAGCAACGCUGCGGUGAAUACGUUCCCGGGGCU